Molecule: ribosomal RNA, 453 nt
Filed under: Siphonobrachia ilyophora
Lineage: Eukaryota; Metazoa; Annelida; Polychaeta; Sabellida; Siboglinidae
Description: partial 16S ribosomal RNA
Rfam family: Bacterial large subunit ribosomal RNA
Source: RNAcentral
CUGCCCAAUGAUUAAUUUUAAAUGGCCGCAGUAUCUUAACUGUGCAAAGGUAGCAUAAUCAUUUGCCUUCUAAUUAAAGGCUUGUAUGAAUGAAUUAACGAAAAUUUAACUGUCUCAUUUAAAUCUUUAAAAAUUAAUCUAAAAGUGAAAAAGCUUUUGUUUUAUUAAUGGACAAGAAGACCCUAUUGAGCUUUAUUUUUAAUUAUUUAUUUUUUUUAAAUUUAAAUAAAAUAUUAAAUAAAAUAAAAAUUAGUUGGGGCGACUAAAGAAUAAUAAUAUCUUCUUUUUAUUUAAAGGAUGAUAAUCCAUUAAAAUGAUCUAAUAUAUUAAUUCACAAAAAAAGCUACCAUAGGGAUAACAGUCUAAUCUUUCUUUAAAGUUCAAAUUAACAGAAAGGAUUGGCACCUCGAUGUUGGCUUAAGAUUUCUUUUUUAUGCAGCAGUAAAAAUAGUA